CUACGGGCGGCUGCAGUGAGUCCUAUUGCCCCCUUGGGGGAACCCUGAUGCAGCAACGCCUCGUGGAGGAUGACGCAUUUCGGUGUGUAAACUCCUUUUAUAUGUCAAGAAAAUGACGGUAGCAUAUGAAUAAGCACCGGCUAACUCCGUGCCAGCAGCCGCGGUAAUACGGAGGGUGCAAGCGUUACUCGGAAUCACUGGGCGUAAAGGACGCGUAGGCGGGUUGGAAAGUCAGGUGUGAAAUCCUACAGCUUAACUGUAGAACUGCACUUGAAACUUCUAAUCUAGAGUAUGGGAGGGGGAGAUGGAAUUAGAGGUGUAGGGGUAAAAUCCGUAGAUAUCACUAGGAAUACCUAAAGCGAAGGCGAUCUCCUGGAACAUUACUGACGCUAAGGCGUGAAAGCGUGGGGAGCAAACAGGAUUAGAUACCCCAGUAGUC
This 439-nucleotide ribosomal RNA is filed under the name uncultured bacterium. RNAcentral's name for it is "partial 16S ribosomal RNA". It matches the Rfam family "Bacterial small subunit ribosomal RNA", at positions 339 to 795 of the family's 1533-position model. The record is from RNAcentral.